Molecule: ribosomal RNA, 593 nt
Filed under: Enterococcus faecalis
Lineage: Bacteria; Bacillati; Bacillota; Bacilli; Lactobacillales; Enterococcaceae
Description: bacterial SSU rRNA
Rfam family: Bacterial small subunit ribosomal RNA
Source: RNAcentral
GGAAACAGGUGCUAAUACCGCAUAACAGUUUAUGCCGCAUGGCAUAAGAGUGAAAGGCGCUUUCGGGUGUCGCUGAUGGAUGGACCCGCGGUGCAUUAGCUAGUUGGUGAGGUAACGGCUCACCAAGGCCACGAUGCAUAGCCGACCUGAGAGGGUGAUCGGCCACACUGGGACUGAGACACGGCCCAGACUCCUACGGGAGGCAGCAGUAGGGAAUCUUCGGCAAUGGACGAAAGUCUGACCGAGCAACGCCGCGUGAGUGAAGAAGGUUUUCGGAUCGUAAAACUCUGUUGUUAGAGAAGAACAAGGACGUUAGUAACUGAACGUCCCCUGACGGUAUCUAACCAGAAAGCCACGGCUAACUACGUGCCAGCAGCCGCGGUAAUACGUAGGUGGCAAGCGUUGUCCGGAUUUAUUGGGCGUAAAGCGAGCGCAGGCGGUUUCUUAAGUCUGAUGUGAAAGCCCCCGGCUCAACCGGGGAGGGUCAUUGGAAACUGGGAGACUUGAGUGCAGAAGAGGAGAGUGGAAUUCCAUGUGUAGCGGUGAAAUGCGUAGAUAUAUGGAGGAACACCAGUGGCGAAGGCGGCUCUCUG